UACAAGUCAAGUCACGCUGGCCAUGCGAACUCCACCACGUGGGCGGUGUGACCUCCGCUGUUGGCCGCACGGUGAUAGAGAAAGUGGAUGGAUGAAGGCAAGGAGAGAUGGGGGACAUCGCAUGGGCAUGUGGGGAAGAUGUCCACUUGACUUGCAAUGUAUGAAGAAGAGAGAAGUGGGAGAUACGGCAACCUUGACUGCCUAUGUAAAUCAAAUGUCCACCACGUACAGAUACGGUGGCUUGCGAAAAAUGGUGGGUGAGAUCCGGUGAGCACACAUCUCUUCCAGGUAACGGUGGUCCUCUCUCUAUACAUCUCUACUAGCUCCUCUCACUCUCUCAUUCUCCUAGGGCGAAUGGCAGUCCGACCGACUGCAGCAGGUGCUGCUCCCACCAGCUGUGAAUCGAUGUGGUAGCGAGCGAGCAGCGUCAAUGGCAUCCGGAUCUAUGGAGGAUGCGGCUGUGGGGCUCAAAUCACCGAGCAGUGGUGAUGGCACCUGAAUCCGGCCAUCAAGGUUGUGGAUCUAGCCCGUAGCGAUGUGGCGAUGACGGACACAAAGCACGGUGGCGGGCUCGAUUGGUCUAGCUCUGUUUUUUAUUUAUUUUUUAAAAUUGAUUAACGGAGACUAGUUUUUUAAGAUCCCUGUCUUCGUUAAUCGAUUAACAGAGAUGGGCAAAGUAACCACCUCCAUUGAUCUUCAUUAACAGUGACCCUUUGAUUAGAGGCGGUUGCAAUGCCCACCUCCAUUAAUCAAUUAUGUCCACUGCAUUAAGUUUUGUGUAGUAGUGUCAAUGCAUUUUGUGAGACGGACAAUUUUGACCGCCUUCAUAAAUGAAAUGCCCGCUUCCAAAAA
RNAcentral lists this long non-coding RNA (852 nucleotides) under Sorghum bicolor (sorghum). Its description in RNAcentral is "long non-coding RNA (SBIC_LNC002002)". Lineage: Eukaryota; Viridiplantae; Streptophyta; Magnoliopsida; Poales; Poaceae. The record is from RNAcentral.